ACCCCUGCGUCCCCCACCGCGACUCGCACCUCGGCCCCAAGUUCACUUUCAGCCUUCAGAGGCCCCGUGGCCUCCUCACCGUGCUACCCCGGCUCACCAUGUGAGCAAAAACACAUCCCGAGCCCUACGGUAGUGGGGCUUAAACUACGCUGGGGCGACAGGCCAGUGCACGUUAGCCGGUGCCGUGAGUGCUCUGAGGACCGGCCCACGGAGCUGACGCCAAGUAAGGGAGGCCUCUGGUCUGGUCCUUGGGCCCCAGAGGCUCGCCUAGGGAAGCGAUAUUUGAGCUGAGCCUUGAGGGAGUACGGGAGAAGCAAGUGGGUCUGACGAGGUCGGUGGAUCCCCUCUGCACCUGAGAAGCUCUUUGAGGUCAAGGAUCCACCAAAGAGUUCUGCACUGUGCUUUGCUGAGAUAAGCACUGGGUUUUCAGUGAAACUGGAUUGGAUUCAAAUCUCACCUCUGCCUUCUGUGAAUCUGUGACCUGAGGAACUACCUAGGUCAUACAGUGAUAUUCUUAAGAUGGCCUUGUAGAAACUCAGCAACUGACAGCAAUGGCCCAAGAGUCCUGCAGAUCUGAAGUCAGCAUCCAGAAAUGGUGACCCUUCUAACACCACUCUCAUUCGAAGGCUCAAUGAUCUCAUCUUUGAAGAUAAGAAGAGGUGGGAUCUCUGGUGACUCGAUUGAAGUCCUCCCUGCCCCCCGAAACCUGCAGAGUACAGAGCUUUUGGAAUAUACACCACCCUGAUAUCAAAGGAAGGAGCCCUGUUGGAGGAAUUGACAUUUCCCCUCUCGUCUCUGGGUUAAUGGAAAGACCUGUAUUCAA
Delphinapterus leucas (beluga whale) is the source of this 823-nucleotide non-coding RNA. Lineage: Eukaryota; Metazoa; Chordata; Mammalia; Artiodactyla; Monodontidae. The record is from RefSeq and is a predicted model, not a curated record.